GAUGAACGCUGGCGGCGUGCCUAAUACAUGCAAGUCGAGCGAACAGACGAGGAGCUUGCUCCUCUGACGUUAGCGUCGGACGGGUGAGUAACACGUGGAUAACCUACCUAUAAGACUGGGAUAACUUCGUGAAACCGGAGCUAAUACCGGAUAAUAUAUUUAACCUCAUCGUUCAAUAGGGAAAGACGGUUUUGCUGUCACUUAUAGAUGGAUCCGCGCCGCAUUAGCUAGUUGGUAAGGUAACGGCUUACCAAGGCAACGAUGCGUAGCCGACCUGAGAGGGUGAUCGGCCACACUGGAACUGAGACACGGUCCAGACUCCUACGGGAGGCAGCAGUAGGGAAUCUUCCGCAAUUGGCGAAAGCCUGCCGGAGCAACGCCGCGUGAGUGAUGAAGGUCUUCGGAUCGUAAAACUCUGUUAUUAGGGAAGACCAAAUGUGUAAGUAACUAUGCACGUCUUGACGGUACCUAAUCAGAAAGCCACGGCUAACUACGUG
This 497-nucleotide ribosomal RNA is filed under the name uncultured bacterium. Its description in RNAcentral is "partial 16S ribosomal RNA". It matches the Rfam family "Bacterial small subunit ribosomal RNA", at positions 28 to 507 of the family's 1533-position model. The record is from RNAcentral.